RNAcentral lists this ribosomal RNA (292 nucleotides) under uncultured bacterium. RNAcentral describes it as "partial 16S ribosomal RNA". It matches the Rfam family "Bacterial small subunit ribosomal RNA", at positions 505 to 796 of the family's 1533-position model. The record is from RNAcentral.
GUGCCAGCCGCCGCGGUAAUACGUAGGGUGCGAGCGUUGUCCGGAAUUAUUGGGCGUAAAGGGCUCGUAGGCGGUUCGUCGCGUCGGGAGUGAAAUUCCACGGCUUAACCGUGGGCGUGCUUUCGAUACGGGCGGACUGGAGGUAGGCAGGGGAGAACGGAAUUCCUGGUGUAGCGGUGGAAUGCGCAGAUAUCAGGAGGAACACCGGUGGCGAAGGCGGUUCUCUGGGCCUUACCUGACGCUGAGGAGCGAAAGCGUGGGGAGCGAACAGGAUUAGAUACCCUUGUAGUCC